Molecule: ribosomal RNA, 580 nt
Filed under: Klebsiella pneumoniae
Lineage: Bacteria; Pseudomonadati; Pseudomonadota; Gammaproteobacteria; Enterobacterales; Enterobacteriaceae
Description: bacterial SSU rRNA
Rfam family: Bacterial small subunit ribosomal RNA
Source: RNAcentral
UGCUCUCGGGUGACGAGCGGCGGACGGGUGAGUAAUGUCUGGGAAACUGCCUGAUGGAGGGGGAUAACUACUGGAAACGGUAGCUAAUACCGCAUAACGUCGCAAGACCAAAGUGGGGGACCUUCGGGCCUCAUGCCAUCAGAUGUGCCCAGAUGGGAUUAGCUAGUAGGUGGGGUAACGGCUCACCUAGGCGACGAUCCCUAGCUGGUCUGAGAGGAUGACCAGCCACACUGGAACUGAGACACGGUCCAGACUCCUACGGGAGGCAGCAGUGGGGAAUAUUGCACAAUGGGCGCAAGCCUGAUGCAGCCAUGCCGCGUGUGUGAAGAAGGCCUUCGGGUUGUAAAGCACUUUCAGCGGGGAGGAAGGCGAUGAGGUUAAUAACCUCGUCGAUUGACGUUACCCGCAGAAGAAGCACCGGCUAACUCCGUGCCAGCAGCCGCGGUAAUACGGAGGGUGCAAGCGUUAAUCGGAAUUACUGGGCGUAAAGCGCACGCAGGCGGUCUGUCAAGUCGGAUGUGAAAUCCCCGGGCUCAACCUGGGAACUGCAUUCGAAACUGGCACGCUAGAGUCUUGUAGA